UAACCUGCCCAAGAGAUCGGGAUAACACCUGGAAACAGAUGCUAAUACCGGAUAACAAUAGAUGAUGCCUAUCAACUGUUUAAAAGAUGGUUCUGCUAUCACUCUUGGAUGGACCUGCGGUGCAUUAGCUAGUUGGUAGGGUAACGGCCUACCAAGGCGAUGAUGCAUAGCCGAGUUGAGAGACUGAUCGGCCACAUUGGGACUGAGACACGGCCCAAACUCCUACGGGAGGCAGCAGAC
RNAcentral lists this ribosomal RNA (240 nucleotides) under uncultured Lactobacillus sp. RNAcentral's name for it is "partial 16S ribosomal RNA". It matches the Rfam family "Bacterial small subunit ribosomal RNA", at positions 122 to 354 of the family's 1533-position model. Lineage: Bacteria; Bacillati; Bacillota; Bacilli; Lactobacillales; Lactobacillaceae. The record is from RNAcentral.